RNAcentral lists this ribosomal RNA (198 nucleotides) under uncultured bacterium. RNAcentral describes it as "partial 16S ribosomal RNA". It matches the Rfam family "Bacterial small subunit ribosomal RNA", at positions 328 to 537 of the family's 1533-position model. The record is from RNAcentral.
ACGCUCGACACCUACGAGAGGCAGCAGUGGGGAAUAUUGCACAAUGGGGGAAACCCUGAUGCAGCGACGCCGCGUGAGUGAAGAAGUAUUUCGGUAUGUAAAGCUCUAUCAGCAGGGAAGAAAAUGACGGUACCUGACUAAGAAGCCCCGGCUAACUACGUGCCAGUAGCCGCGGUAAUCUGAGCGGCGUGGCAAGGC